GACCAGCGGAGGGACAUUAUAGAGUUUUCUAAACUCCCAACCCAUGUGAACUUACCUUUUGUUGCCUCGGCAGAAGUUAUAGGUCUUCUUAUAGCUGCUGCCGGUGGACCAUUAAACUCUUGUUAUUUUAUGUAAUCUGAGCGUCUUAUUUUAAUAAGUCAAAACUUUCAACAACGGAUCUCUUGGUUCUGGCAUCGAUGAAGAACGCAGCGAAAUGCGAUAAGUAAUGUGAAUUGCAGAAUUCAGUGAAUCAUCGAAUCUUUGAACGCACAUUGCGCCCAUUAGUAUUCUAGUGGGCAUGCCUGUUCGAGCGUCAUUUCAACCCUUAAGCCUAGCUUAGUGUUGGGAAUCUACUUCUCUUAGGAGUUGUAGUUCCUGAAAUACAACGGCGGAUUUGUAGUAUCCUCUGAGCGUAGUAAUUUUUUUCUCGCUUUUGUUAGGUGCUAUAACUCCCAGCCGCUAAACCCCCAAUUUUUUGUGGUUGACCUCGGAUCAGGUAGGAAUACCCGCUGAACUUAAGCAUAUCAAUAAGCGGAGGAAAAGAAACCAACAGGGAUUGCCUUAGUAACGGCGAGUGAAGCGGCAACAGCUCAAAUUUGAAAUCUGGCCCUUGGGUCCGAAUUGUAAUUUGUAGAGGAUGAUUUUGGUGCGGUAUCUUCCGAGUUCCUUGGAACAGGACGCCUUAGAGGGUGAGAGCCCCGUACGGUUGAAUGCCUAGCCUCUGUAAAUCUCCUUCGACGAGUCGAGUAGUUUGGGAAUGCUGCUCUAAAUGGGAGGUAAAUUUCUUCUAAAGCUAAAUAUUGGCCAGAGACCGAUAGCGCACAAGUAGAGUGAUCGAAAGAUGAAAAGCACUUUGAAAAGAGGGUUAAAUAGCACGUGAAAUUGUUGAAAGGGAAGGAUUUGUGACCAGACUUUUUCUGGGCGGAUCAUCCGGGGUUCUCUCCGGUGCACUUCGCCCAGUAAAGGCCAGCAUCGGUUUUCGGCGUGGGAUAAAAGCAGUAGGAAUGUGGCUCUCUACGGGGAGUGUUAUAGCCUAUUGUAUAAUACCGCGCUGGGGACCGAGGUUCGCGCUUCUGCA
This 1078-nucleotide ribosomal RNA is filed under the name fungal endophyte. RNAcentral describes it as "eukaryotic LSU rRNA". The stretch from base 483 to 1078 matches the Rfam family "Eukaryotic large subunit ribosomal RNA", at positions 1 to 607 of the family's 3401-position model. The record is from RNAcentral. Lineage: Eukaryota; Fungi.